Molecule: non-coding RNA, 92 nt
Filed under: Stenotrophomonas maltophilia
Lineage: Bacteria; Pseudomonadati; Pseudomonadota; Gammaproteobacteria; Lysobacterales; Lysobacteraceae
Source: RNAcentral
CCUUUUGGCGGACGGUGCGGGGGAUCGCAUGAUCCGCCGGUUAACUGCUUUGUACGACGCCGGUAUGCCAACCCGCACCGUCCGCCACCCCG